GCGGACGUAGCUCAGUUGGUAGAGCGCGAGCUUCCCAAGCUCGAGGUCGCGGGUUCGAUCCCCGUCGUCCGCU
Molecule: transfer RNA, 73 nt
Filed under: Solirubrobacterales bacterium
Lineage: Bacteria; Bacillati; Actinomycetota; Thermoleophilia; Solirubrobacterales
Also listed under: 4 other names
Description: tRNA-Gly
Rfam family: tRNA
About the family: Transfer RNA (tRNA) molecules are approximately 80 nucleotides in length.
Source: RNAcentral